UGGGUGGGCAUAGAGUCCCAUUACAUAGCAGAGGCUGCCUUGGAACUCACUCUGUAGCAUAAUUCCUGAGCCGUCAUGCCUACCUAGCUCAUAUAACCCUUUUAACAUAGGGGCUGAAGCAAGCCCGAAUUCAAAGGAAAUGCUAUUAUUACCCUCAUCAGAGUCAAGAAACGGUUACCUGUGACAUGUUCCUCUUGGGGAAGACUAGGCUCCCCUAGGACCAGAUAGGUGGGGGACUAGGUAUACAUGACCAGUGGCCAACUCCUCCCAAAACUCUGACCUCUUUGACUUCAGCAGACUCUGAACAGAUCUUGAAAGACAUCAAUUCGCUUGCCUCCUACUUGAACCCGGUGACUCUGGCCACCUGGGACAGAGCUGAGAUUUCUCUUCACAGGGAAUGAUGGCAGUUGAAUAUGGAGUGAUAUCACCCAGGCUACACGGGGAGGGGUUGUUCCAUCUUUUAAGAAAGACUCCGCCCCAGGGCUGUCUCUCCCCAAUAUUCCCUGGCAUCUCCCCUACUCCAUUUUUUUUUUUUUUUGGACCCAGGGUAGAAAGCCAGCUGAUAUCAACCUCCACGGAUGGCCUUAGCCUAUCUCAGGCUCUAUUUCUGUACCUUUUAAGAAAGGGGCUCGUGAAGCCCAGGCUAGCCUCGGAACUCCCUAUACAGCUAAGCAUGACCUCAAAUUCCUGACUUCUUUGCUCCCAUCUCCUGAGAGCCGGGACCACAGGUGUGAGCCACUGCCUCUGGUUUAUGUGGUGCUAGGGAUGGAAUACGGAACUCCGAGCACGCUAGAGGAGUACUGUAUUAGCCAAGCCAAAUCUUCUUGUAGAUCUCACUCUAUAGCUUAGGCUGCCCCUCCAACUUGAUAGCAUGGUCCAUCAGGUGUGGCUUUUCAUGCCUGGCUUCAGCCUAUUUGUAAAGACGAACAGUUUCUUUAUGUUGAAGGAGUGUAACCAUCUGGGGAGGAGGGUGCACAGAUGUCAGGAGACACAUCUGGGGCGGGAGGGUCAGGUGACACUGCUCUUAACUACUGGCUUGCGGCCACUGCAGGGUCCUUCUGCUGCUACCCACAACCCUCAGUCUUGUCUGAGCCCAGGAACUCUUGUCCUACAGUGGGCUUCGAGCCCCAGCAGAGGCUCUUCCCUCCCAUUCAGCCUCGGACCACAGCCCUGUCCCGCCGCCCGCCCUGCAGCUCCAGUCCCCAGUUCAAGUUCAGGUUCCCACGACAAUGAGGUCUCUUACGGAAACCAGACCCCAGCAGAUGGUUCACAGGCUCACACAUCUUUCCCCACAGCCGGAUGCACCUUCCGUCUGGGAGCAGUCUCCUUCCUCCCCCAUAACCUAAUGUGCCUGGUCAGGACACAUAUCAGAUGGCCAAAACGAUAACUUGAGGCUCAGUGUAGCCUCUGAUACCCGCCAUGCCCUGUUUGUCAGGAGAUGGGCACUUUCCCCAGCUCACUCCCUGGCCUGUAUUCCACCUUGGCAAUCCCUCGUACAGGCAUGGACUCGCACAUGCUCACACACACCUGGGCACCAACACACACAGUGACAUCCUACACCUGGGCCCCAGAUUUCUUCAGGAUUUUUUUUUUUUUUGAGAUAGCCUGAUGUAGCCCAAAUGGCCUCGAACUCACUACGCAGCCAACGAUGCCUUGAAUUCCUGAUCAUCCGAUGACCAUUACACAGGUAUGCGUCACCACGCCCACCUAGUUUGCUCAGAGGCUCAAGAAUGUUUAGCAUGCCCUCCAUCAACGGAGACAUCCUCCCUCAACUCUCUUAGUUGUUCUUGAGAUGGGGUCUGGUUGGCUUUAAACUUACAUGCUGGGGCUCACAGGUGUGAUCCCAUCAGACAACUUCACAGUUGCCUCCCUCCACCACCAUCUGUCUAGGAAUGGACUUGUGAACAGACCUUCAAACCUUUCCAGACACUCUUCUUUCAGGAACAUCCUUGGCCAGAAGCUCACAUUGACACCUUGCAACAUGAUCUGAAACACACACACACACACACACACACACACACACACACACACACACACGGAAUCCCACCAUCUCCAAGCAAAGACAAACCAAGAUUGUCUCUCCACAGGCUGGUAGGUACACAGGUGUGCACAGGUGUGCAAACUGCCACCACCACUGGGAAAGCACUCAGGUGACUCAGACGACCAGCCUGACUGGCGGAGUGUAGCUUUGACAGGACCCCUAACACGGAGCUGGCUCCCAAGAGGAGACAGUUCCCAGGACCCUCCCUGCCUUGAAGAGGGCGGCGGGUGGGGGGAAUCUGGAGGCGAAGGGCUCAUCGAUCUCUGGGAUUCCCCAUCAGUCUUGCCACCUGGUCGGCAGGGUCCCGAAGGUUGUGGAUAGCGUGGGACCAGCGAGGGGCAGCAUGGGACCGGCGAGGGGCCCCUUACCUCCAGGCUGCGCGGGAUGGAGGAGGUUGAGCAAGAGGAUCAGCAAGACGCCAGGCUGCGGGACUGCCGCUGUCAGACCCGCCAUCUCGGGGAGGACUGCCCCAGCCUGCUCUCUGCGCCUCGUUUUAUCCCCAAAGCGUAAUUGCUGCCUGAGGCUCCGUGGACCUGCGAAGGGUGCAUGGCUCCAGAUUCUCUGCACUGCUCACCCAUGCACGUUAACGCAGCACCUGCACUGAGAAGGCAAAGUGAGUCGCUACCAUGGCUGGCAGAUGGAAGGACCCACCAGUUUCGCUGUGUUGAACAGAGUACCAAUGAGAACUCAGGAAAUGCAGGUGGAGAAUGCCACAGUAUCACUGCCAGAAGCCACCGACUGUGGAGAGCUAUACUCCAGCCUCUUUUCCACAAUUUCUUAAAAACAAACAAACAACAACCAAACUUA
RNAcentral lists this small RNA (2848 nucleotides) under Rattus norvegicus (Norway rat). RNAcentral describes it as "uncharacterized LOC102553484". Lineage: Eukaryota; Metazoa; Chordata; Mammalia; Rodentia; Muridae. The record is from RNAcentral.